AUUGAACGCUGGCGGAAUGCUUUACACAUGCAAGUCGAACGGUAGAGGGGGCAACCCCUCGAGAGUGGCGAACGGGUGAGUAAUAUAUCGGAACGUGCCCAGUCGUGGGGGAUAACGUAGCGCAAGUUACGCUAAUACCGCAUACGAUCUAAGGAUGAAAGCGGGGGAUCGCAAGACCUCGCGCGAUUGGAGCGGCCGAUAUCAGAUUAGGUAGUUGGUGAGGUAAAGGCCCACCAAGCCAACGAUCUGUAGCUGGUCUGAGAGGACGACCAGCCACACUGGAACUGAGACACGGUCCAGACUCCUACGGGAGGCAGCAGUGGGGAAUUUUGGACAAUGGGCGAAAGCCUGAUCCAGCCAUUCCGCGUGCAGGAUGAAGGCCCUCGGGUUGUAAACUGCUUUUGUACAGAACGAAAAGGUUUCUACUAAUACUAGGAGCUCAUGACGGUACUGUAAGAAUAAGCACCGGCUAACUACGUGCCAGCCGCCGCAGUAA
This 496-nucleotide ribosomal RNA is filed under the name uncultured bacterium. RNAcentral describes it as "partial 16S ribosomal RNA". It matches the Rfam family "Bacterial small subunit ribosomal RNA", at positions 30 to 523 of the family's 1533-position model. The record is from RNAcentral.